Molecule: ribosomal RNA, 253 nt
Filed under: uncultured bacterium
Lineage: Bacteria
Description: partial 16S ribosomal RNA
Rfam family: Bacterial small subunit ribosomal RNA
Source: RNAcentral
UACGGCGGGUGCAAGCGUUAUCCGGAUUCACUGGGUUUAACGGGUGCGUAGGCGGGCCGGUAAGUCCGUGGUGAAAUCUCUGAGCUUAACUCAGAAACUGCCAUGGAUACUAUUUGUCUUGAAUAUUGUGGAGGUAAGCGGAAUAUGUCAUGUAGCGGUGAAAUGCUUAGAUAUGACAUAGAACACCAAUUGCGAAGGCAGCGUGCUACACAGUUAUUGACGCUGAGGCACGAAAGCGUGGGGAUCAAACAGG